This 366-nucleotide ribosomal RNA is filed under the name Nabis apicalis. RNAcentral's name for it is "partial 16S ribosomal RNA". The record is from RNAcentral. Lineage: Eukaryota; Metazoa; Arthropoda; Insecta; Hemiptera; Nabidae.
GUCCUUUAAUUGUGGACUAGUAUGAAUGGUUUAAUGAGGGAUAUACUUUCUUUAUUUUAUAUAUAUAAAUUUAAUUUAUAAGUUAAAAAGCUUAUAUAAUUUUAAAUGACGAGAAGACCCUAUAGAACUUUACUUAUUAUACUUAUUGUAAUUAUUUGUUUUGUUAUAAAUAUAGUCUGUAACAUAAGUUUUGUUGGGGUGACAAUUAAAUCUUUUUAACUUUAAUUUAAAUAUUAAAUCAUUAAUUAUGUAUAUUGAUUGACCUGUAAUAUGGAUUAUAAGAAUAAGUUACCUUAGGGAUAACAGCGUAAUUUUAUUGUAGAGUUCAUAUUAAUAAUAGAGUUUGCGACCUCCGAUGUGGAUUAA